This 503-nucleotide long non-coding RNA is filed under the name Brassica napus (rape). RNAcentral's name for it is "long non-coding RNA (BNAP_LNC007495)". Lineage: Eukaryota; Viridiplantae; Streptophyta; Magnoliopsida; Brassicales; Brassicaceae. The record is from RNAcentral.
AAUUGUUUUAUUUUAGAAUUUUUUUUUGUUCUCCACACUUUCUAUUUCAAGCACGCAUUUCCAUGAGUAGGAAUGAUAUAGUUAUUAUCUGGGAGAUGUGUAGCUAACCAAUACCCGACUUGACUGAGUAUAUACCACUAUCAUUACAAUGCCAUCACAUUAAGUCUUGUUGAGCUUUUGAACUAACUUUUAGUUCCAAAAUCAACUUCAAAUCGUCUUUAACCACCGCUUCACAUAACUUAUCAACAUCCCAACCACUCUUGGUAUCAUUUAGGAAUGUGGGGACUUUUGUAUCAAGGUUUAUCUCUCCCAAAGCACACGAAUGCCUUGGAGGAUGCAACGGUAACCAUUGAUCUGUCCACAUAUUAGUCAUCCGUCCAUCACCAAUGAUGUAUCUUAUUCCCUUAACUAUUAGAUCCUUUCCAUAAAGGAUUGAUUUCAAUGCAUAAGAAAACUUUUUUUUCCAGAAUAGCCUUUAGUAUAUCACCAUCAGAAAAUUACCU